GUACUCGCUUCGGCGGUACAUAUACUAAAAUUGGAACGAUACAGAGAAGAUUAGCAUGGCCCCUGCGCAAGGAUGACACGCAAAAUAUAUUAUGUAGUGUGAUCAGAU
Molecule: small nuclear RNA, 108 nt
Organism: Cimex lectularius (bed bug)
Lineage: Eukaryota; Metazoa; Arthropoda; Insecta; Hemiptera; Cimicidae
Source: RefSeq, a predicted model, not a curated record